RNAcentral lists this ribosomal RNA (599 nucleotides) under Ceriporia sp. KUC20130718-42. RNAcentral's name for it is "eukaryotic LSU rRNA". It matches the Rfam family "Eukaryotic large subunit ribosomal RNA", at positions 66 to 648 of the family's 3401-position model. The record is from RNAcentral. Lineage: Eukaryota; Fungi; Basidiomycota; Agaricomycetes; Polyporales; Irpicaceae.
UAACAAGGAUUCCCCUAGUAACGGCGAGUGAAGCGGGAAGAGCUCAAAUUUAAAAUCUGAUAGUCUUUGGCUGUCCGAGUUGUAGUCUAGAGAAGUGUUUUCCGCGUUGGACCGUGUACAAGUCUCUUGGAACAGAGCGUCAUAGAGGGUGAGAAUCCCGUCUUUGACACGGACUACCAAUGCUUUGUGAUGCGCUCUCAAAGAGUCGAGUUGUUUGGGAAUGCAGCUCAAAAUGGGUGGUAAAUUCCAUCUAAAGCUAAAUAUUGGCGAGAGACCGAUAGCGAACAAGUACCGUGAGGGAAAGAUGAAAAGCACUUUGGAAAGAGAGUUAAACAGUACGUGAAAUUGCUGAAAGGGAAACGCUUGAAGUCAGUCGCGUUAGCUAGAACUCAGCCUUGCUUUGCUUGGUGCAUUUUCUAGUUGACGGGCCAGCAUCAGUUUUGAUUGCGGGAUAAAGGUCAGAGGAAUGUGGCACCUUCGGGUGUGUUAUAGCCUCAGAUUGUAUACCGUGGUUGGGACUGAGGAUCUCAGCACGCCUUUAUGGCCGGGGUUUUACCCACGUUCGUGCUUAGGAUGCUGGCGUAAUGGCUUUAAACGAC